This 397-nucleotide ribosomal RNA is filed under the name uncultured bacterium. RNAcentral describes it as "partial 16S ribosomal RNA". It matches the Rfam family "Bacterial small subunit ribosomal RNA", at positions 523 to 918 of the family's 1533-position model. The record is from RNAcentral.
AUACGUAGGGGGCGAGCGUUGUCCGGAAUGAUUGGGCGUAAAGGGCGCGUAGGCGGCGCGGUAAGUCUGGAGUGAAAGUCCUGCUUUCAAGGAGGGAAUUGCUUUGGAUACUGCCGCGCUUGAGUGCAGGAGAGGUUAUCGGAAUUCCCGGUGUAGCGGUGACAUGCGUAGAGAUCGGGAGGAACACCAGUGGCGAAGGCGGGUAACUGGACUGCAACUGACGCUGAGGCGCGAAAGUGUGGGGAGCAAACAGGAUUAGAUACCCUGGUAGUCCACACUGUAAACGAUGAAUGCUAGGUGUAAGAGGUAUCGACCCCUUUUGUGCCGGAGUCAACACAAUAAGCAUUCCGCCUGGGGAGUACGGCCGCAAGGUUGAAACUUAAAGGAAUUGACGGGG